CUUCGCAUUGUUCGUCGCCGGCAACGCUAACCGCCACGCAGAGUCAGCAAAAUUAAGACAAGCUGAUUUACCGCGAAGUGCCAGUGCGGCAACGUCGUGUGCACGUGCUGCCAUCUCAGGUGUUGGAUAUGUUCCAAGCCAAAUCCUCGUGGACUUGUCGUUAGGAACACGCACUUCACAAACCCACUUGUUGUUGUUGUUGUUCCUUCUUCGUACUCCUCUGUAUACUGGAUGUCUUGUCUCCUUGAAUUUUCGUCGACCCGCACGUUUCUUUGGUUGUUCUGAUGCUAACAAGAUUUCUGAUGAAGAAGAGUUGUUCUCUACGUAACUAGACUCAUCAAGUGAUGAUUUCAUUUGUGGGGUGUAUGUAGUAGUACUAGUAGUAAAGUAGCUUAUGGUUUAUGCGAAAUUCAGUGCUGAAAUUGACUUAAGAGUUAGGGAAGUAUAUAUAGUACUAUGUAUGUAGCUUUUAAAUGUUUAUUUUAAGAGUUUGGGGGAAAUUAAUGCACGUGACUACGAUGUGUACACGAACACGGGAACAGUUGGCUUUUGUUUUUUCUUGUGGGCCAGUGUAACGGGCGGCCCACGGUUAACAUUUGAUUUUCGCUAGUUCCAAUUUCUAACUUUGCUAGCAUUUCUUGGGAGUACUCUCAUCAAAGAAAAUAAAAAAAAAACAUUUCUUGGGAGGAAGAUUCACUGAACCAGAGUCUGAAAACGUGUUUGUAUACUUAACGAAACGAUGUCAUCGUGUUGUUAGUGAAGUACUAAAUAUAAAUAGGAGUAAAGGCAAGUGUGUUUGCAAUUUGUAUUGGCACUGACUAACUAUGAUCAAGGCUAUUAGUUUAUUGAAGGAAAAAAAAAUUAUAUUAAAAAACAGCUUUUGAAUUUGGAAGAUAUUAAAUGCUUAAUUUUUAAGAUAAAUAUUUAUAAUUUAGUUUCUUAGCAUGUCUUUGUUAGUCAACAUGCCUUAUAAGUUAAUAGCCAUUAAAAAAAUAUAUAUAGUGAGCAAGUCAACAUGCCUUAUAACACUUCCUCAAAAAAAAAAAAAAGCCUUAUAACAUAACCUUUUUCAAAAUAAAUUCGAUACUAGUGAUUAGUAAAACAUUAUCCGACCCUAAUUUGUAAAGAGAAACUAUACAUUCUCUCGGACUCCUCUCUUCUUCAUCCAACAAAGAGACAUGAUUUUAAGUUAUAUCUUUGACCCGAAAUCCUCAUUUUUUGUUCGUUUAUCUUAAAUUCAUAGAACAACUUCAAUUAGUUUUUAUUUUUUGUUUGUUAUCUCCGACUCCGAUCCUCUCUUUUCUUUCAACGAGCUUUUUGUCAUAUAUAAUAUUGUUCUAUUUUCCCUUUCUACAUGGCCAUUAUUUUUAGAGUAUAGGAAGCGAUGAUUGAUCUUAAAGUCUCAUUUAUUAUACAACAUCACUAGGGAUGUAGAUGGAUAUCCAUGGAUGCGGAUAGUGUGAUGUAUAUCCGCUCCGUUUGAUAAAUAUGAAAUUUGUACUCUAUCCAUAUCUGCGCGUUUUACAGGUAAUCUAUAGAUUUUGAGAUAUCCGCGGGGUUUAUACAGAUAUUCAUGGAUAACAUUAAUAAAAAUAAAAUUGUUAAUUUUUUUUAGCUGAAAUUUAAAAACAAAAGUUCAUAACAUGCAUUUUCUUUUCUUUUUAGAAAAGCAUAAUAUACAUACAUUACAAUAACAACAAAGUUCAUUGACUCAACAAAAACAUAAAUAAAGAUCCUUACAUUUAAUAAAAAUAAAGUUCUUUAAUUUAACAAAAGCAUAAAUAAAGGUUAUCAUAUUCAACAAAAACAAAGCUUAUUGCUUCAACGAUCCCGACCACUUUCACUUCCUUUUAAAGAAGUGUAAUAUAAAUUUGAACAAUCAUGUAAUAAGUAAUAAUACUCACAGGACCAAGGUGUUUUACUUAGGAAGUUGAAAGGUAUUAAGGAUAUUUAUGUAAUUUACUUGGUUUAAUAGCGAGUAUGGAUAUUCGUGGGUGCGGAUAUCAUUAAAUCCACAUUCAUAUUCAUUAAUUAGUUGGUAGUUAAAAUAUCUGUUUAUUUUAUUCAUUGAUAUCCAUUAAGGUAUCCGCUCUGUGUCUGUGGCUCGCGGAUAUCGAUGGGUGCAAAUUUUUUUGCCACCCCUAAACAUGACCUUUCGAAUCAACAUGAAUUAUGCUGAAAUUCAGUGUUUUAAAAUUGUAAUAUCAAAUGAGAAGGUUGCAUAUGACAUUCCAAGAUUGGUCAUUUAAACUUUUAUAAAUCAUUUUAAAACCAAAAAGGUGGUGAUUGCAUUGCUAAUUACCAAAAAGAGGUGGAGUCUUUCAAUAGUUAGAGACUAGAAGAAAACAAUCAAUGAUGACUCCUGGAUAUAUGGAAAGGAAGAAUAUUGUUGCACCAAAGUGGUACAACUAUAGAGAGCUCAUGUGUUAUGCUCUUACCUAGGCUGAAUACGUGUAAGACUCGGAACGGAGGACCUUUGAGAAAGCAAUUGAGAGCAAGGAAAGUAAGAAUUUGAAACUUGUGGGACUAUCUUAAAAAAAAUUCAAGGGUAGUUGCAUUCAAGAAAAUCUUCAGUAUUAUGGAAUGCGUUCCAAGGGUUAAAGAGGUAAUGAUACAUCUUAUGGCAAUAUUAAGGAUAGCUUGAUUCAAGCGGAUCUUCAAGCAUAGAUCAGUUAUCGAGUUAAAUACUUAGUAAUCAAUUCGGAUAGGUGGUGGUAAGAAUACUCAAUUUCAACCUAUAGAGACGGUUGUAAGAAUACACAAUCUCAACUUGGGGGGGGGGGGGGUAAAAUACUCAACAACACUCUGAAAAGAUAGUGGUAACAAUACUCAUCAUUAGUUUGGAAGCGGAGUGCUACAGACACUCGGUAGGAUUGGUGAGAGCAACAAAAUGUUUGGUGGAUAAAUUUGUUUCAUCGUUGUUUUGAAGUCAAGGUGGUGACGUAAUUACGGGUUGUUUAGUAUAUAACGAAUUAUUCACAAAUAGAGUUAUUGCCUUGUUGUUUGGCAUCAUCAAAAUGAAUAAAAUAUUAGGAAUACUUGAGCGUUAAGGAUUGAGAGCUUUUGGGUGAGAAAUUUGGGUCCGAAAACACAUUAAACAUCUUAGAUAGAGAGAUUUCUUAAGUAAAAUGAUUCAAAUUUUCUCUCUUGUCUUCUUGAGCAUCUUCUCAUGAGUUGAGAUAAGCAACACAAAAGGAUAGAAAUUGAGGUGGAUUGUUGAAAGUAAUUUUUUGUAGCUCUUUUGUAUUUAUAAAAAUUAAUUGAUAGGAGAUUGAAGAAUUGCUCUCUUCUCUUGACUUAAGUCUUAAUUUAGAUCAAAUUGAAUAAACAAUCUUGAUUUGGUUGUUCUUUUACUAUUUUUAUCUUUGUACUUUGCUUUGAUUAUGAUUUAUUAUAUAUACACUUAGGUUAGGUUGCUAAUUUAUCUACUUUGUUUCAAAUUCCCAACAUCAAAUGUUAGAAGUUAGAAACAAACACCCUAUGAGAGAUAAAAAAAAAAAAAGUUUUAAUGUGAGAUGAGAAUGUUCACCUCACUACUUAAUUUAUUUAUGUUUUUAGUACAACAACACUAUUCAAUUUUAUUAUUUACGUCACACGUUUAUACCGUCAAUGUAACAGUUUGUAACUAACUUCUAACAACUAAAACAAGAAUGAGAACACACCUCUUCACCAGUAGUUACCUAAAGAAAGAGCUUACCAAACCAUGUAUUGGAGCUAAGAAGAAACGAAAACGAUGAGUUUGAAAGAUAGGUGUCGACCAUUCAUGAUAAUUUGGUUACUGUCAAAGUUUGUAGCAUUUAUUUUCAGCUUAUCGCUAAUUAAAUCGAUUCCCUAGCUUAGAGAAAAAUCGUAAGUGGCCCUACUUUGUUUGAUUCUCUCGUAUAAACCCAAGACCACGUAUGUUUUUUAUUUAAAAAAAGGUUUUUUUUUCUAGAUUACCUUUGAAGAAUGGUGGGUAAUUUACCCACCAACCAAUAAAAAUGAGUAAUUUGUUGGUGGGGUCAAGAUUAGGGGUGUUCGCGGUGCGGUUUGGUUCGGUUUCAAGCAUAAUAAUCAUUCAAACCGCGAGAGAAAAAAGCAUGCGGUUUGGUUUGGUUCGGUUGAUUUUUAAAAAGUCAUCCAAACCAAAUCAAACCAAACCAAUGCGGUUUGGAUUGGUUCAGUUGAUGCGGUUAAUCGCGAGAUAAAUAAAAAAAUUACAUUAACUCUAAUAUUGCCAACUAGUACCAAACAAUUUUAAUUAUUCAAAAAAAGAACUUGAAGUCCAAAAUAACAUUACAAUACCAAUAAAAGUUAUUUAUCUAAAAUAACAUUACAGUACCAAAAUAAUAUUUAAGAACCAAAAAAGAACAACUUGGGCUUGGGUUUGGGUUCACUUUGGUAUUGGGUUAGUACAGUACUUACUUAGUUUAAUAACAUUGAGUAUUUUUGCGGUUUGGUUUGGUUUGGUUCGGUUGCUGAGAUGCAAACCGCAAACCGAACCGAACCGCACGGUUCAGUCUAAAAGUCAUCCGAACUCAUCCGAACCAAGUGCGGUUUUUUGCGGUUUCGGUUUGGAUUGGUUCGGUUUGCGGUUUUUCUAUUGGGUUGGUUCGGUUUUGAACACCCCUAGUCAAGAUAGUUCAUAGAUACCACUUAAAAAUGUGGCUAAUGUGUAUUGAUUAGGGUAAAUUAUCCACCAUUCUUCCAUGGGUAUCUUAGUUGUCACCUUAAAAAAAAAAAACGUACAUUCUCACUUUUUUGUGUGCAUGCAGAGCACAGUAUCUUUAUAAGUAAAUUAAUAAGAAAAAUGAUAGUUAUAUAAUGAUAUUUGGCACAAUAUUUUCUUUGUCUUCUUUUAAAAAAACAAUAAGAAUACAAUGAAAAUGUAAAAGAUAAUUGUUUUUUUUUUUUUACAAGAUAAAAGAUAAUUGUAUUAAAAUAAUUGUAUAAAUAUUAUUACAUCAAUUGUUUGGCUGUAACUCUCUUACGGUCUUACCAUAUAUAUUUUCCCAUAUGACUCCCAUGUGUUCAAAAGAAAGAGGAAAAUCCAAGAUUGCAACCAAAACCAUCAAACAGAUGAAAGGUUUAAUCAACAUCAAUCAGUAAUUGUUGACUAAAUUUCUUACUUUAUCUUGUCUCCAAUUAUAAACGGGACCACAUGAAGUUUUUUUUUCUGAUUAUAAUUUUCAAUUUAGUAUUCGUCAAAAAAGCUAAUAUUCAUCUUAUAAGAUGAAUAAGUGGGAUGUUCAGGAUUUAAAUUCUGGCCUCUGCAUAUAAUAAUGCAUUGUCCUAUCAACUGAGUUAAAUUUAUGGGACAAAAAAAAAAAUUGAAUUUAGUAUAGCUUUUUUUUUUUGAAGGAAUUUAGUAUAGCUAUAAUGAUAUUCAUUAGUACAUUUUCAGAUGAAUAAUAAUACGGUUGCACAUUUUCUUUAAUUUUUCUUUACACCACUCUGCCGAUAAGAAUGUAUACAACUUCUCUUCAAAAAAUAAAAAAAAGAAUGUAUAUACAACUUAUUUGCAUAUUGAUGAUGAAAUUCUAACCAAUAUUACAUCUAAUCAAGUCAAAUUGGACUUAUAACUCUUAAAAAAUAUUGUUGUAGUACUCUUAUGUGUGGUCAAAAGAUUCACACACACAUAAAAAAUAAAAAUAGUAUAAAAGAAGAAAGAAUUAAAAUAUGUGUAGUUUUAAAAUAAUUUUAUGAUAAGUAUUUCUUUUUUUGCUGUGACCACAUAUUUCUUAUUUGGGGUUGUGAGUACUCUUGAUGAAAUUACAAUGAAACCUUUACCUAAGUAGUUCUAGAGUUAGGUAGAUGUACACUUUAAGGAAUAAUUUCUUUAUGAAUCCUAACACCUAACUUUUUCUUUUAAAAUAAUUGAAUUAUUGUAUGUGUUUUUUUUUAAAGAACUUGUGUAUGUGUUGUUGAAAAUAAAUGAUUGUGAAUUUAAUAUAAAAAUGAUGAUAAUUAAAGUCAAGCAUUUGCACAAAAAUUAUUCAUACACUAAAUCAUGUAUGCUCCUUUUUUUUAUAUAUACUAAGUCUUCACCUUUUAAAGUGAAUAAGUGAGGAAUCCAUGAUUUAAAUCCCAAUUCUUGCAUAUUAUUAUCAUGCAUUGUUGCUACCAAUUAACAUUUGUUCACGGGAACAAUUAUGAUAUAUGCUCCUUAAAUAUAUAUAUAUAUAGGGCAUAUCACAUGAGAAUGACUAACUUAUGUGAGAAUGGUAAGAAUAAAUUGCAGCCGUCGGAUUAAAAGCAAUAGGUGAGAUUAAAACACCACUUAAGUCACUCAUGUGACCAUUCUCUCCCUCUUUUCCAUCAUUCGCGCGCGCUUCUUCAUUCAUGUGUGUCACUGAUUUUUCUUCUCCCUCUCUGCUGAGUUUGGGGUUCCACUUCAUUGAUUCUUGUAUACCUUCUUUCUUAUAUGGUGUUAUGUUACAUCCUUGCAUGAAUACAAGAAAAAUCAAUUGACACACAUGAAUGAAGAAGAUAUCUUUUAGCAAUCCACAGCUUAAAGUGUGAUUAUCCACUUUUUAGUUAUAACUUGUUAAAAUACAUCUUCAUAAAAUGUGUGUUCUAGUAAAACCAUAUAUAUAUAUAUAUAUAUAUAUAUAUAUAUGUGUGUGUGUGUGUGUGUAUCAAGUAACUUUUUCUUUAGUAAAAAGAAGAUGAUGUUUUGUUUUAUGGGUUCUUAACAGAUAUCUUUAACUGUGAUAACACCCAAAAUGACACACUCACUCAUGUUGGAUUCCAACAGGAGGCAAAUCCAAAAUUAAAACCUUCAUUAUCAAUAAUAUAAAAGCAAUGAUAAAAGUCAAAAAUAAAACGUUGCUUCAGUACAUAUAUUAUCAUUCCGCAACCAACACGCUUUUGAUAACAUUUGCAUCGCAAUCGAUAGUCUUCUCUAUAUAUGCAUAUCCAUUAUAGUAAUUUGCUUUGUCUUGGUGUUCACAGUUUGAUCUUUUUGUCUCAAGCUUCUACUUUUUGUCGGGUACACUUUACUUACACACUUUACUUUGAACAUCAUUAAUCAGGCAUAUACUAUAAAAAUAACAAAAUUAAAUUAAGAACUUAGAAAUAUAACUUAAAUACUAUUUGAACAUCAUUAAUCAUACAUGCAUUUUCCUACUCCAUUAUAUAUAUAAUAAUUUAAUUACUUUGAUUGGUUUCUAGGAUUAGGAAAGAAAAAAGAUCGAGCUUAUAAAUAUAAUUAUAUGAUAUAUUUUAUAUAUAGAUGGAGAGAUCAAUAGUAGCUCCACAAACUUUCUCCCGAAGUGUAGUAUUCAGGCAAGUACUCAGACGGUGGUGGAUUCAUUCUGGGAGGAGAAAGCAACAUACCCUCAGCCAUUUCUACCAUCAAUCUUGGCAUUGAGAAUAUAGCUUCUUCAUCAAGAAACUCAGUUUCAUACCAAGGCCUACCAUUUAAGCCAGCAUCAUUAUUAACGGCUUCAGCCGCCGUUAACUCAGCUGCAGCUGUGGCAGCACUGCGGAUAUCAUCUGGUGAAUUAGACGCAGGCACCGGGUACUUGCUAGCUGAAUUAGGGAAGUUUAGAACAGCAUCCCCGCCUUUGAGGGCCAAAGUCGCGACAUCAUAAGCCGCGGCUGCCAUCUCAGGGGUAGGGAAUGUGCCUAGCCAUAUGCGGUUGGUCUUACGAGGCUCGCGGAUUUCAGUCACCCAUUUUCCUCCUCGGCUCCUAAUUCCGUGGUAUGUUGGGUGUCUUUUGGAAGAAGAAGAUG
This 7716-nucleotide long non-coding RNA is filed under the name Medicago truncatula (barrel medic). Its description in RNAcentral is "long non-coding RNA (MTRU_LNC002345)". Lineage: Eukaryota; Viridiplantae; Streptophyta; Magnoliopsida; Fabales; Fabaceae. The record is from RNAcentral.